This 301-nucleotide ribosomal RNA is filed under the name uncultured bacterium. RNAcentral describes it as "partial 16S ribosomal RNA". It matches the Rfam family "Bacterial small subunit ribosomal RNA", at positions 509 to 808 of the family's 1533-position model. The record is from RNAcentral.
CAGCAGCCGCGGUAAUACGAAGGGGGCUAGCGUUGUUCGGAUUUACUGGGCGUAAAGCGCACGUAGGCGGACUUUUAAGUCAGGGGUGAAAUCCCGGGGCUCAACCCCGGAACUGCCUUUGAUACUGGAAGUCUUGAGUAUGGUAGAGGUGAGUGGAAUUCCGAGUGUAGAGGUGAAAUUCGUAGAUAUUCGGAGGAACACCAGUGGCGAAGGCGGCUCACUGGACCAUUACUGACGCUGAGGUGCGAAAGCGUGGGGAGCAAACAGGAUUAGAUACCCGCGUAGUCCCUGUCUCUUAACA